CCUACGGGGGGCUGCAGUCGAGAAUCUUCGGCAAUGGGCGAAAGCCUGACCGAGCGACGCCGCGUGCGGGAUGAAGGCCUUCGGGUUGUAAACCGCUGUCGUAGGGGAGGAAGGCUCCGUGAAGAACGGAGUUUGACCGAUCCUAGGAGGAAGGGCCGGCUAAUCUCGUGCCAGCAGCCGCGGUAAUACGAGAGGCCCAAACGUUAUUCGGAUUUACUGGGCUUAAAGAGUCCGUAGGCGGCGCGGAAAGUAGGGUGUGAAAGCCCUCGGCUCAACCGAGGAAUUGCGCUCUAAACUACCGUGCUUGAGGAACCUAGAGGUGAGCGGAACUGAUGGUGGAGCGGUGAAAUGCGUUGAUAUCAUCAGGAACACCGGAGGCGAAGGCGGCUCACUGGGGGUUUUCUGACGCUGAGGGACGAAAGCCAGGGGAGCGAACGGGA
This 440-nucleotide ribosomal RNA is filed under the name uncultured bacterium. Its description in RNAcentral is "bacterial SSU rRNA". It matches the Rfam family "Bacterial small subunit ribosomal RNA", at positions 338 to 777 of the family's 1533-position model. The record is from RNAcentral.